GUUAAAAUAAUUUAAUUUUAAAAUAUUGGUUUUGUAAACCAAAUUUGGUUGUAUUAUACCUUUUAAUA
Molecule: transfer RNA, 68 nt
Filed under: Archaeocroton sphenodonti (tuatara tick)
Lineage: Eukaryota; Metazoa; Arthropoda; Arachnida; Ixodida; Ixodidae
Description: tRNA-Thr
Rfam family: tRNA
About the family: Transfer RNA (tRNA) molecules are approximately 80 nucleotides in length. Their secondary structure includes four short double-helical elements and three loops (D, anti-codon, and T loops).
Source: RNAcentral